This 252-nucleotide ribosomal RNA is filed under the name uncultured prokaryote. Its description in RNAcentral is "partial 16S ribosomal RNA". It matches the Rfam family "Bacterial small subunit ribosomal RNA", at positions 524 to 776 of the family's 1533-position model. The record is from RNAcentral.
GACAGAGGGCGCAAGUGUUAUUCGUUUUGAUUGGGUGUAAAGGUAUGUAGGCAGCACCGAAUUUUUUGGCUCAAAGCGCGGAGUACUACUACGCUUAAGCCUUUUUUUGAUGGUAGCUUGUGUUAGGAAGAGGUUUAGGCAAGUCUGUAUGUAGGGGUAGAAUCCAGCGAUAUACGGACGAACGUCAUUUGGCGCAGGCGCUUUUCCAGUUCUAACGGACGCUGAGGUACGGAAGCUUAGGGAGCAAACGGG